This 469-nucleotide ribosomal RNA is filed under the name uncultured Acidovorax sp. RNAcentral's name for it is "bacterial SSU rRNA". It matches the Rfam family "Bacterial small subunit ribosomal RNA", at positions 908 to 1382 of the family's 1533-position model. Lineage: Bacteria; Pseudomonadati; Pseudomonadota; Betaproteobacteria; Burkholderiales; Comamonadaceae. The record is from RNAcentral.
AAUUGACGGGACCGCACAAGCGGUGGAUGAUGUGGUUAAUUCGAUGCAACGCGAAAACCUUACCACCUUUGACAUGUACGGAAUCCUUUAGAGAUAGAGGAGUGCUCGAAAGAGAACCGUAACACAGGUGCUGCAUGGCUGUCGUCAGCUCGUGUCGUGAGAUGUUGGGUUAAGUCCCGCAACGAGCGCAACCCUUGUCAUUAGUUGCUACAUUCAGUUGGGCACUCUAAUGAGACUGCCGGUGACAAACCGGAGGAAGGUGGGGAUGACGUCAAGUCCUCAUGGCCCUUAUAGGUGGGGCUACACACGUCAUACAAUGGAUGGUACAAAGGGUCGCCAACCCGCGAGGGGGAGCCAAUCCCAUAAAGCCAGUCGUAGUCCGGAUCGCAGUCUGCAACUCGACUGCGUGAAGUCGGAAUCGCUAGUAAUCGUGGAUCAGCAUGUCACGGUGAAUACGUUCCCGGGUCUU